CCCUAACUUGUUGUCGGUCAAAACUAUUUUCGGGUUAGGGAGGGGUAGGUGCGCAGUUACUCAGACACUAACAUUGAUCCAAAAUGACUUAUGUAAUCUAUGUCUUUCAAACUAUGGUGUCUGAGUGCACAUAUCAAAAAUGGGGAACAAUCAAUUGAGUUAUUGUAACGUAGUGAAGCCAAAAAGGCACGCCUUAAAAGCUCAAAAACAUACACUUUAUUCCAAGCACACGAAGUACAUCACUCCUUACUUUCCCGCUCUCGCAACACUUUUUAAGUUCCCGGAUAUAUUUGCGAACUACCACUGUCCUAAUACACUACCGUUAUGGCUGAGAAAGAGGGAGGCUUUUUUUAAAACAAAUUCAAGACACCUGGUUUUCAAGAAGACUGGAAAGAUUGUCACACACCUUAACUGAAGCUGUGGCUACUUGAGUACCUUGUUGGUUGACAGCUAGACAUGCAAGUUCACCUUGAUGGGCAUUAAUUGUAAAUGGUGCUGUUGAAGUAUCUGGUUGUCUAUUGGUCAGGUCCUGUGAAGCAAAACAAAGAACAUGGAGUAGCUUGAGCUAUGUACAUUUUUGAAUGAAAAAAAAAAGUGAUUGUGGUAACUUACCUAAAUUAGUUGACAAUUUGAGCAAACUCAGUUAUAAUUUAGACUCAAUGCAGAUGAUAGAUGGAAGUAAAUGGACAAACUCACUUGGGUUCGGUAGCUUUAUUCAAUUAUGACAAAUUAAGUUUUUCUAAGUUAGACUCCAUUUACACCAAAGGUUAAACAUGUUUUAAAGCUGUUUUGUUACAUAUGGUUUUAAAUUGGUUUCUUCCUAUAAGCUGUUUAAACUGAUGUUUGUCUACUUCAAAUUUAGCAAAUUGAACAUACAUGUUAGAGAAUACUUAAAACCUAUGGAAGUUCAGUUUAUCAGUUCUCUCUUUCUGGUUUUUAUAAAUCUGGUCUUACUACACAUGUUUGUUAGUGUGAAUGGGGUAUUAGUUUCAGCAGAUCAAUUAGCAUGUACUUUACAUUGGAUUCUCAUAGAUUUAAUUCAUGCUUAAAGUAUUACAUUAUGUUAGUGCAGUGUGAAACUACAGUAAUUUAUGUAACAUCAAGAGUUUCAAUAAACUUUUCACAGGUGA
Molecule: long non-coding RNA, 1130 nt
Organism: Pocillopora damicornis (cauliflower coral)
Lineage: Eukaryota; Metazoa; Cnidaria; Anthozoa; Scleractinia; Pocilloporidae
Source: RefSeq, a predicted model, not a curated record